This 2269-nucleotide long non-coding RNA is filed under the name Malus domestica (apple). Its description in RNAcentral is "long non-coding RNA (MDOM_LNC010246)". Lineage: Eukaryota; Viridiplantae; Streptophyta; Magnoliopsida; Rosales; Rosaceae. The record is from RNAcentral.
UGGAAACAAGGAAGCUGGGAGGAGGUGGUCUUCCAUAGCUUUAGGAAAAAAAAAUCUUCUUUCUUCAUACCCAAAAAUCGGAUAGAGAUUAGGAAAUCUUGUGAUAGGUCGACCUUUGAUUGAUCAAAGGAAUGUGUCAUAGAGAGUUGUUCAUCUCCUAUUUCACCAAGGAGUGUGUUCGGUAGUGGAUGAACUAAGAAGAGACACAAAGGUCUAUAAGCAGGAGGUGAAUGGCCUAGGAAGCUAGGUUUUUAUCAUGACUCUGAUAGGAGUGAGUAGGAUUAGAGAAACUAUAAAAGGGGUUGCAGAGAAGUGGGAAAGCAUCAGAAAUCGAAAAAGGGUAGAGAAAUUGAGAGUUAGAGAACGUGAUUGAAAAUGAAGGAUUCAAAGAUUUGAAGGGUAAACUUCUUGUUACUUGAUUGUUUAGAUUUUUCGAAUUUAAUUUCCUUAGUUGAAUUGAAACUGCCAUGAGAUAUAUUUGGAGUUCUUAGUUUUAUUUAGGGUUUUCUACUGUUCAAUGAACCAAUCUGAACUUGAAUUAGAGUUGGGUAAUUCGGAUUGGGUGUGUAGAUCAAAUUUCUUGAUCAAGGGUUUGGUUCAAAAGGUCAAUUUCUUAUUAAUUUUGAGUCAUGUUAUAUUUGGGUGUUGUAGACAUGAUUUUUGGAUUACUUGGAAAUAUUUUGGGUUUUAUUAUAUGAAUUGGAAAUGUACUGUUAUGUAAGUGCAGAAAAUAGAUUUUUUUGCAGAGAAAACUCAAGUUUCUAGUGGUCUUAUUUUGCUCUUAAUUCAUAGGUCUUUAUGUGCUCCUUUGGAGAAAACUUUUAUUGUGUUGAAAAUACAUAUGUCCAUGAUUGUAACCCAAUUGUUUUCACUCAGUUCCGUUGAGUUUUGGUUGAUCAAAACCUUAUUUAAACUUGGGUCGCAAGCUGCCAAACAGCAGCAGAAAACUGGGUUUCCAGUUUCAAGACUCCAAUUUUCUUUUGGCAUAACUUCCAAUUUAGAGCUCCGUUUUCUACAAACUUUAUAUGCUUUUAAAGUACAUAACACAAACUUCAAAACCCAUGUAAUAUUACAUGAUUUGGUUUAGUUUUGAAUGUUCGAAAAUGAGUCUAAACUUGGUUCAAUAGUGCUGUUUUUCUGCAGAUUUUGUGAAGAUGCAAAGUUCUGUUUUUAGCACACCUAAUUUCUCUUCCAAAUUCCUUUCUAGUCCUCUUUACUUGAUUUGAGUGACAUUAUUUGAGUUAUAAGAUUCCAGAAUUUAUGUACUUUCUUUAGAUAAUAUCAAUUUUGUGGUUGAAUACUUAGUUUGGUUUCUAAUAUGUAUUACUUGUGUUUAUAUUUUUGGUUGUAUUUUUGUGUUCCGAUUAGGUUCUUCAGAGGAACAAAAUUAAUUGAAUUCAAGGUAGGGGGUUCUGGGAAACCUUCUAUAUAUAUAUAUAUUAAUUUAAUUAUUUCUUACUUAAGUACAUAUACAAGUUUGAGAUACAUGUUUUUAUUGGAUAUUUGAGUAUGAUGAAUGUUUGAAAUGAAAUUUGGGUCCAUGAUGUGAGAGUAAAGUGGGGUUGUCGAAAAGAACUUCGGGAAUCUAAGGUGGUGACUAUUAGUUUUGUGUAGUUGAGCCAAACUCUUAGUAGGUACCAGGUCUCAGGCGAGCUCAUAGUGCACAGAUUCUUUUAGGCAAGAUGACUAACAAAAGGGGAGUUCGGGGAUGUUUAGGGAUGGGGGUUAGUUCAUAUAUUUAAACACUCGGGAUCAAGUGGUAUAAGUACGGAAUAGGACGUACAAGGUCUGGCUGUUUAGUUAUGUGGAUUAACGGGUAUAGUUAAGGCAUUUGCAUUGCAUUCUUACGCAUCUUUCUAAUUUUGGUUUUAAUUCUGCUAUCUUAAUUAUACUUUAUUAUUUUAGUAAUGAAGGUAUAUGUCCCUACUGAGCUUUUUAAGCUCACCCUAACGAAAUUUUGCAGGUACAGAACCAGAAACCUAAAAGUCUGCUUGCUGUCUGUUGUGUAAUUAUGUAUAAGAAAUAAAAAGAUAUGCUUGUUGGCUUUUGCUCUCUUGUUUGAAUAAAGAACUACUUUUGUGUGAACUUUGAGUAGUUCAUAAGUUGUAAUUUUGGCUAAAACUUUCAAUAAUGAAUAUGUUGUUUAGUUAAUUUUGUUCCAAGCGAGUUAUACAUGCUUUUAUUUCAUGUCACAUUCUUAAUUAUAUUAGUUAAGCUUAUAAUUAAGGUGUGAUUCACAUUCUGAACCAAGGUUUAUGUUAAUCCUUAG